Non-coding RNA from Meleagris gallopavo (turkey), 4459 nucleotides. The record is from RefSeq and is a predicted model, not a curated record. Lineage: Eukaryota; Metazoa; Chordata; Aves; Galliformes; Phasianidae.
AUUCACUCUGCUGGAGUUUCGUAAGCAAGCCCAGGAUGCAGGUGUGUAACCGGAAUGUAUGAGGGUUUUAUCGCCAAGAAUUUCAGAGUUUGCUGUCAUUUUGCAUAUGGACAUAAGGUCCCAUGGAGUUCGGUGGACCAGGGGUUCCGUUGACCAGAGACCUUCUCCAACCUCAGAGAGCACUACAACCAAGAACCACUGUGACACAGGCUGCCAAGAGUCCUUGUUUUCCAUGGGACCAACAUGUCAGCAAGAUACAGAUCGACGUGGCAGCAAGCAGGAGUUGAAAACAUUCACUGAUGGUAAGAAAUCUGAUGUAAAUGGCCUACUGAAUCCAAACUGAUGUUCCUCAGAUGCUUUGCUGCUCCGCCCAGGUGCAAACCAGUAUCUUCCUUAGGCAAUGGGAUGUAUAGCAAGAAAAACUGCUGGUACAGAAAACAUAGGCUGCUUGGGGACAGUCGUCAUUGCCUGACAAGAAAUGUGACUUAAAACACCAUACACACUUGGUAGAGCACUGAUCUUCUAAACUGGAGAAUGUUACAAAGACGGCAGAAGCAUAAUGACAGAAGCAAACAUAGAAAUGUAAAGGAGUGGGAAAAAUAAUAUGAGGAAGGAGUGCACAUUAAGCAGCCAAAAAGACAUUACUUUGCUGUGAAGGAGUUGAACAUUAUUGGUGAAAAGCCUAUUCUCUUUCAGCGGAAGAAUGAAGGCAGGAAUAACAAAUUAAAAAGCAAUAUGCAACAUAUGGGAAAAAGAAAGAGGUAAUAAAGAUCCAUAUAGAUAAGAGCUUAUGAAGUGUAGAAAAUUGGUAAAGGAUACUAAAGAUAUCAGAAUAAAAUCCAUGGCUGAUCUGGCUACGUUUUGGAAGAAGUGUUUCUUGAAAGCUUAUUAGUAAUAGCAGAAAAAACUAUCAGUGUCAUAGACUCAUUACUAACUAGAGACAGCAAGUCAUUAGUAACAAUGAAGAAAGAGGCAAAAUAGUUCAACAAUUAUUUCUGUAUUCUGUUAGAGUAAUGCAUCUUUGGAUAUAUUAAUAAUUAGGAAAGACACUGAACAACUUGUACCAAAGUUAAACAUUAUCAAAAUCGUAAGGUCCAAAAAAGCAAUCCCCAAUAGUGUGGAAACCUGCAAAGGUCCUUGUCAAUACUGAGUAAAACUUCCAAGGCAAAUGAAAUCACCCAGGUAAAUACAGUCCAACUUGGUACUAAUCUCAGGCAAAGUAAUGGAGUAAUUGGUGGAAGAUCUAAUUAAUAAAGCAUUUAAAGAUAAGACUGUAAUUAAUGCAAUCUUACUGACAAGGGAUUGCAAUUUCAGACUGGGACACAUAGUUGACAGGGAGUAACCAGGAGCAAUCUGUUCAAAACUGGGGGACAGAAGGAGAAACUUCUAAAUUUGGUGAUGAGGUAAGGCUGCUUUAAGGGCUGGAACCCAAGCAGAGAGGCAAGGCAGGGUCCGGUGGGAAAAGCAGCAGCUGACUAUUCCAUGGGCAACUGCAUUGUCACAUGCAUGCAGUUUGUGUGAAAGGCAAGCUUCUGGCUUUUGACUUGCAGUUCUUUAAUAUAGAAAAAUCAUUCAGGUAAAUAAAUUAUGUGAUUAUGAAGCAAUCUGCAAAGAUAUAAAUGAAGCAGCAGCAGGAAACAAGGCAGGAUAGGCUGUUUCUGGAAGCGAGGGGAGCAAUGAGGCUGUGGGAUGUUCAGUUGGCAAAGAAAUAGAGGAUAAAGAGAAGAGAGGGAAAGGGGCAAGCAAUACAGGUUUUAGAGGCUACAUAAAAUGUCCUUAACCAGCUUUCAUGAAAAACUGAGUGUGUGACUGAACUCCCCUCCUAAAAGAGUGCUCCAGCAGAUUAACAGGAAUACAAUGAAGGGUCAUUUUUUUUUCUCUUGGAGCUAUUGAAUUUUUUCCUUUCAUUGAAUCAGUACAUUGCAGAUUUUGCUUAUCAAAAGUCCUCUAGUGCUGUUUGAUGAUGAGCCAUAUUCUGCCUUGACUUCCAUCCCAGGCAUCCCCACUAAGUUCAGUGAUGUCUUGUGGAGAAUAAAGCAAGGCAGACGUUAGCUUGAUGUCUUUAACAGUGUUGCAGCUGCUAAUGAAGCACGAUCCGAUGUGGUACGUUUGGAGACUGUCACUGAAGUGUGGUAGAAUAGACAGUCUCUGCUGCCUCUGCAAUUGAUUUAUCAAGUGCACUAUGUGUAUAGGAAAUUGGAACAUCUAUUCUCUUCUGUUUGGUUUUGUUGCCAUUGAUGAGUCACAUGGAUAAAAGAUACAAGAAAUAUUUCGGGAAUUUUUGGCAAUGAAAUGGUUUUCCUUUUCUCCCACUCCUUCCCCACCCAAAAGUAAUAGAGCUGUCAGGCUUAUUAGAUAGCACAGUCAAGUUUUAAAAAGUAAAGAAUGGGAGUAUUGCUUUUAUAAGAAAGAGCUGUAGACCUGGAAAUGAUCCAUAUUUGGAAUAUAAAUGCAAGCUGUUAUGCAGACCAAAGUAUCUAUUUGGAGCCAAAUUACUCAACAACAUCUAUCUAUGCCUCUUCAACACCUGCAGAUUAGCAGUGUAAUCUUGUGGAGGUUGCUAUAGCUACGUCUCUGGAGCAGGUGGAGUUCUUCAUCUCUGGGAGCACUGCUAUGUUCAUUCUUUGCAAAUAAGCCACCUAAGGGUAUGUUUAAAAUGUCACCCUGGUGGCGUCAGUCCCUAUCUCUCUGACACUGUCACAUCAGAUCUGUUCUUAUCCGAUUGAGCCCAGCUGUUUUCUUAAGAAACAAUACUGCUUCCAUCAAAGUGUACUGCCUUCUCCAUGACCACGUGUGCCUGGGCACCAGGUUUUGCCAAUCCAGACCUACUCAGGCCAUAAAGCACAUCUUUGAGGUUAAGCUGGGGAGGACAGCCCAGGUUUAUCUUGCAGUUGUGUAGUCUUGUCUAGGCUUGUAGCACACACAACUGUAAGUUAGCACAGAGCAAAACUACCAGCCUUCAGCAACAACACUAGUCAGGGCCUACAAGUAGUCCCUGGCUUCAGUCAGGUAGUAAGAGUGGUGCUAACUAUGAGGAUUUUGUGUACCCUUGUCUUCCAUCAUGGGCUUUGCUUUUACACUGAAUACUUGAUCCUUCUUGCUUGGGCUCUCCUGUCAUUUGCCACAGCAAAGAGUUGCCCACAUGACCCUGCUUUCCAUUUGUCUGUCUGCAGUGACUGGCAUAGCUAUAACCCUUAACCUUCUGCCAAUCAAGCCCACAUCAUGCUAACCUUUGUGAAAAUGUAAUAGGAAUCUCUGGUCGAAAAGCUGAUAUCCUGGAAAAAGAGCCCUGACAAGCAUUAAAAUAAAUGACAAAAGGCUAAGAAGAAGAAGCACCAAAGACUAGAAAAUAAACAAAUCAGGAUACUUUGACUUGUCUGAUUUUGUCAUUCUCCUUGUUUCUCUUUUGCUUUAGUUGUAUAUGAAGUGCAGGCUUUUCAUUCCCCAGUGAAGGUAGGGAAAGAGAGAUUUCCUACCAAAACCUGUCAACAACAGCAACAAUAACAGAGGAUGUUUUCCCUCCUUGGCAAAUUUUAAUUUCUACAGUAGAAAGCUGAAUAUCAGAAAAUGCUCCAAACAUAGUAACGCUUCAGUAGGUUUCAGAAAAGAAAGUUCCAGACUUCCCCAGAAAGAAAGACAGAAAAGAAAGAAUAAUAUUUUUGCCAAGCAGCAGAGUGACCAACUUUAUGCUCAGCACCACAUUUUCCAUUCAUUGCUUUUCCUUCCAGUUUAUUUUGUCUCUUGUCAUGUCUCUGAUACACUGUCUUUUUAACUUCCAAAUUCCUGAAAUAUGUCCGCUCCACAGAGCCUCCUAACUUUUGUCCUCCCCAAAACUAGCGCUGUGAAAUUUAUUUCCAAAAGUUCAGGCAUAUAAAAAUAUGCCACAUUGCCUUGAGACACAUCCAUCUCUGGGUCAAUUGGUGUCUUACGCAUCACGACUGUAUUUCUCUUACCCUAAAGGCAACUUCUAUAUUCCAGUUCUCCAGACUACUGGUAAAAUAAACCAGGGAAAAUGAUGAAGAGGCCACUCGUUAUGAUGCAGGCUGCUUAGGGACUGGUCUUUCCACUUAUUUCAGGAAUGGCUGCUGAAAAAGGUGAGUAAGACAGGCAGUGUGGAGGAAAUCUUGUCAGUCCUGCCUUUCUUCUGAGUCAGACUUGUUCAUAGCUGGUGAUCAAAACUUUCCAAAAGCAGGGAUGUGUGCUCUGCCUUUGAAAAGAGCUAUCAGUCCAAAACAGAGAAAUGAAGGCAGCCACAGUCCCGUGUGCUAUGAGAGAACGGGCUCCUGUCUGGGUGCUGAAUUCCCAUUAGCACCGAGCCAUCGCUCAGCGAUAAUUAAGCCAUAGCGGCAAUGCGGCUUGCGAAAUGUGUGCCCACACACACAUAGAUAUGAAAAUGGAUGGCUUUUGUGUUUCCCAAGAUUCAUGUCCAGAAUCGGGUGUCUGGGGGUUUUUUUGUUUG